GACAUGGCUCAGGAUGAACGCUAGCGACAGGCUUAACACAUGCAAGUCGAGGGGCAGCAUGAACUUAGCUUGCUAAGUUUGAUGGCGACCGGCGCACGGGUGAGUAACGCGUAUGCAACUUGCCUAUCAGAGGAGAAUAGCUCAUCGAAAGAUGAAUUAAUGCUCCAUAAAACAGGGGUUCCGCAUGGGAAUAUUUGUUAAAGAUUCAUCGCUGAUAGAUAGG
This 223-nucleotide ribosomal RNA is filed under the name uncultured bacterium. RNAcentral's name for it is "partial 16S ribosomal RNA". It matches the Rfam family "Bacterial small subunit ribosomal RNA", at positions 16 to 229 of the family's 1533-position model. The record is from RNAcentral.